Molecule: long non-coding RNA, 875 nt
Filed under: Oryctolagus cuniculus (rabbit)
Lineage: Eukaryota; Metazoa; Chordata; Mammalia; Lagomorpha; Leporidae
Description: lncRNA (ENSOCUG00000032667.1)
Source: RNAcentral
GGAGUACCAAAAUGGAAGACCACUGCAAUGUAACCUGCAAAGGGCAUGAAGACCAGGAUCGGUGAAGAACUGGGGCCAUCUUGACAAUCCACCAUAGCCUACAUUCAUGGGAACAAAGCAAAGAACAUAGUUUUUCAAAGACUGAAUAAAACAGAAAAAUGUGUCUCUUCUGCUCACCAGCAUCACUGGUCAUUCUCUUGAAGCAACUCAAAACAGCUCCUCUCAAAUACAUAACAUUGAGCAGUAAAAGCACAUUGCAGAAUACUUCAAAAAGUUCAUGGAAAAUGGAACUAAAAGUAAGUUUAUUUUGGUGUAAUUUUUUAAAAUCUAUGCAUACUAUUAGAUUAUUGAUUCAAGCACUGAUCAGUUAUAAACUUUUAACAUUCUUUAUGUCUUUAUGAGUCAACAUUGGCAGGUUAUUUGUUUCCAAGAAUUUGUCCAUUUCAUAUAGGUUAUUUUACUCUCUUGCAAUUUUAUUUUUGUAAAACUGUUGCCAUGUUCCUCCUUUCAGUUCUGAUUUAAGUUAUUUAUGUUCUCUUAUUUUUUUCCUAAGAUUUAUUUUAUUUAUUUAAAAGACAGAGUUACAGAGAGAGGUAGAGACAGAGAGAGGUCUUCCAUCUGCUGGUUCACUUCUCAGAUGGCUGCAAUGGCCGGAGCUGUGCCAAGCCAAAGCCAGGAACCAGGAGCUUCUUCUGGUGUCCCACGUGGGUGCAGGAGCCCAAGAACUUGGGCCAUCCACUAUUGCUAUCCCAGGCCAUAGCAGAGAGCUGGAUCGGAAGAAGAGCAGCUGGGACUAGAACCAGCGCCCAUAUGAGAUGCCAGCUCUUAAGGCCAGGGCUUUAAUCUGCUGUGCCACAGUGCUACCCCCACCCAUU